RNAcentral lists this long non-coding RNA (3240 nucleotides) under Sus scrofa (pig). Its description in RNAcentral is "lncRNA (ENSSSCG00030037170.1)". The record is from RNAcentral. Lineage: Eukaryota; Metazoa; Chordata; Mammalia; Artiodactyla; Suidae.
AUAUGUGCUGCUGAAGCGAGCACAAAUUUACCCUUUUUAAGUGUACAGUUCAGUGGUGGUUAGUACAUUCAUGUUAUUGUACAGUCAUCACCACUCUCCAUCUCUAGAAUGUUUUCAUCAUCCCAAACUAAAGUUCCACACCUUUCGGAGUUCCCGUUGUGGCUCAGUGCUUACGAACCCGAUGAGUAUCCAUGAGGACACGGGUUCAAUCCCUGGCCUCAGUCAGCAGGUUAAGGAUUCAAUGUUGCCAUGAGCUGUGGUGUAGGUCACAGACGCAACUCAGAUCCUGCAUUGCUGUGGCUCAUGAGCUGGCAGCUGCAGCUCCCAUUUGGCCCCUAGCCCAGGAACUUCCAUAUGCCAGGGUAUGGACCUAAAAAAAAAAAUGCUCUGUACCUUUGAAUAACUCCCCAGUCCAUCCCCCAGCUCCUGGUAACCACUAUUCUACUCUCUGUCUAUAGGUGUUUGACUGUUCUAGAAACCUCACAUUAACUGGAAGUGUACAAUGUUUGCCCUCUUGGGUCUGGCUCAUUUCAUUUCUCAUGAUGUCUUCAAAGUUCACCUAUGUUGUAGCAUAUGUCAGAAUAUCCCUCCUUUUAAAAGGCUAGAUAAUAUUCCAUCAUGCAGACAAAGCACAUUUUGUUUCUCCAUUCCUGGAUGGGGUGGGGCUGCAGGUUUUUGAGAAUGGAUGAGGCAUUUCCAUUCUCUCUCACAUCAUCCAUUUCAGAAAACUUGGAGAUCUUAGAAAACAGAACAAGAAGGAUGCAGAUCUCACACCCUGGAAUGACCGUGAAAGCUGUCCUCUGACCAGGCACCCACGCCUGCUCAGGUCCUUUAUAUGAGUAAGAAACACAUUUUCAUCAUAUUGAUUAACCAGUGGAAAUGUGAAGUUUAUUUAGUUUUACAUAACAAGCAUUAUCAAGCCAUUUAUCCUCUUUUACCUACUUGGUAGAAUAUUUUUGGGUCACUGACCCAUGAAAAUAAUUUUUUCUCUCUCUACUUCCACAAUUUCUCGGCUUCUAGAAAAACCACAGUCCCUUAAAAAUCAAGAAAGCAAACAAAAAUGAAGAGGUUCUUUGCGCACUUCGAUUCCCCCUACCCCCGGCCGCUGCCACUAAGAGUAGGAAUUAUGAUGUCUUUUCCAGAACCUACUCUAGGGUAGCCCCCCUCUCAACUCGACUGAAACAAGAUAUCCUUCUGUGUGGUGAACACAGAUCAUGUUUCAGUUCCAAGAAUGAAUAUCCUGUAACCAAACCUGAACAAAGUUCUUCCCAGCAAAAUCAUCAGGCCCUCUCCGCAAAUCAAUAACACCUGCUGCCCUUUGUCUUGGCACCACCCAAUGUGUGUUGUUUUUGUUUUUUUUCAACUUUGUCAGCCAAGUUUUAUAAUGAUCAACUUUUUCCUGUUUUAGCAAAGUUCAGAAAAAAGAGGGCGGCACAUUCUCUGAAGAGUAUACAAACUCUGAUAAGACGCAGGCACCAUCAGGUGAUAAGUUAUGUAAGUGGGAAUAAAACACGUCAGCAGGUUCCAUGCUGGUGAGAGUCAGAUCGAUUUACCUAAUUUCCAGGAUUCCAGGAGCCCUAGAGGUCACUGAUCCGUCUCUCUCCCCUCACAUCUAUUUUCAGGCCGUUCCAAAAAGAUUAAGGUUCUCUCCAAGACAUCCUUGAACGAAUGGAUUCCACAGAUUCAGUCUGGGAUGAUUAAAAAACAGGAAAUCAACAUUUUGACAUGUAUGUUGGAAAACUCAAGGGACGGUAGCUGACUCCCUCUCUGCAGCAUCAAAAGGCCCUUAAGGCGUGGUCACCCUUGGAGGGCAGAGGGGGCCUGAGCCGAAACACCAAGUCUCCUUGUCUCCGGCCACACUGGGCCCUGGGCACCAGCUCUUCAAGCUCUCACCCUGAAUGGGGAAUGGAGGCGGGUGAGGGUUGGACAGAAAGGGAAGGGGGAGAGAAGAAUGGGAAUGAUUAGAAAUGAGAAAACAUCAUAAACGGCAGGAGACAGGGUGAGGGCGGAGGACCUGGCAAUGGAGUGGGUGAAUUAGGAGGGAAAGAGAUGGAAGAAGAACAGGAGAUUAAAGUGGGGAAGAGGGAAGGGGAAGGGAAAAAGGGAGAUGGGGAGGGGAGAGCCUAAGGGAUGGAAGUCAACCUCCAUCGGUGCCUCUAGGUAAAUGGUAAACAACCUUGAAGUUGGAGCCGUACUUUCCAGCCUGAAGGGACAGAGGCCAAGGCUGGGGUUGGUCACUAAGGCAUGAUGUUUACAGGGCUGAUGGUGUCCUGGAGGUGUCUUCAGCUGGGGACCAGAUCCAUAAUCAGCAGGGCCCUGUGCAAAAUGAACAUGCAGGAUCCCUUGUUCCAAAAUUAUUAAGAAUUUCAAGGGCGUUCCCUAGGGGCCUAGCGGUUGAGGAUCCGGCAUUGCCACUGCUGUGACAUGGUUUUGAUCCUUGGCCCAGGAACUUCCAGAUGCUGUGGACACAGCCCCACCCUCAUCCCCAAAUCAAAAUGAUGACAGCAGAGCCCCUAAAUCAUUCAUGGGGCCCUUCUGGGCAUAAGGUUCUGUGCAAAGGCACAGCUAGCAUGUCUCUGGUCUUGUCUUCAAUAUAUUGACAUAACCAGAAAGUUAGAAAAGGAACGCAACAUUUAAGUAGUGUCUAUAUGAUAUCAAACUAUCUGCUUUACUGAGACUGGAUCUUUGACACCAUCUAAGUGGAAUGUCUGCUUGUUUGACUUCUUCUCAAGCCAACUAGUUACCUUGCGAUAUAUGAAUUGAGUCAGAUUUUUCUUUCACACUUGGCUCUACUGCUUAGUGCUUUAAGACUUGUGCUUGCUUCCUGGAUAACAACUGUGAAAUUAAUAGCUACUCCUAGUUUUUAAUAUCACGCUCAGAGGAGAUGUUAGUUGCACAAUAAAGGAAGAAGUGUUAGCUCACAUUUUUGGAACACAGGGAGAGCUUAUGAUAAAUUCAUGUAGGCACAUGGGAAAAAUCAUGGAAAAGAAAUUCACGUAAUUAUGUCCUGCCGAGAGCAGCUCAGCAGGAUGGGGCUGAAGAACGGGUGCUGCGGAAUUGAAGGAAAGAGCCAACACAAAACAAAAUGCCAACACAAAGCAAAACACAGAGAUAGCAAAGGUGGGAACCCGGGGGACUCAAAGUCUCCAGGACCAACAGCCCUGCCUCAAGAAACCACACGCUUUUAUUUCACUCUUUUGAUGAGCUCACAUGAAGAGGGGCCAGGGGUGGAUGAUCAAG